RNAcentral lists this microRNA precursor (62 nucleotides) under Caenorhabditis remanei. RNAcentral's name for it is "microRNA crm-mir-7597 precursor". The record is from miRBase by way of RNAcentral. Lineage: Eukaryota; Metazoa; Nematoda; Chromadorea; Rhabditida; Rhabditidae.
UGCUACUAUCAGCUUUGGUUAUAUACAUUCCCACAACUUAUAACCAGGCUCAUAGUAGUUCU